CUUUGCCGUUUGGCUGAGCCUCGUGCGCGUGUGAAAAUCAACCAAGCCCUCCUUGGGCGAGCUAGGGGCGGAGCCGCCAAGCAGAAGCAGCUCCCCUGCGCAACGUCUCUGGUUGCAUUCACACUGGGCGGAGGCAGACUUUACACAUUUGCGGCAACUUUUGGUGCCCAAUGAGGAGGAGGAGGAUGAGAAAAAUUGCCAAAGGCAUCCGACUCUGCCGUGACCAACACCCUCAUAGGCACCGUCAGCCAGGGGGCUGAGCCUGGGAAUGGCCACCCUGUGUCAGACUCUUCCAACUCAUACUUACCUGGCAGGGGAGACACCAUGAUCAAGAAGGUGGUUCACCCAGGGCGAGGCUCGGCCAUUGCACUCCGGUCGUGCUGACCCCUGCGAAUGGGCUUCAGGCCAAAGGAAGUGCAAUUUAAAGUUUAGACUGUAAGCCUAAAACUGAAGUACUGAGAAGCUCCCCUAGGUUGCAGGCUUCUUCCCAGCUCUAUCAGUUGAGAAUUAGAUUGAGACCUUUUCUUGCUUUUAUGAGGUGAAUUUAGAAAGAUAUGAGUCCCUUAUUGGUUUCACUUAGCAUUUAUUGACUUUGUAUAUCAUGUACCACUAUUUAAUGCCACCACAACUGUCAUUUAGUGUAUCACAGUGACUUCAUUCAUCAUCUUGUGUUGAUAACACAUCAUAUCUGAAGUCAGAGGACUGCACAUUGGUCACCAGCAGUGAUGUCUGUCUCCUAUGUCUAUAAUUCUGUAUUAACCCAUUUAUGCUAUAUAUCUCAUUAAGAUUUUCAUGUUUACAGGGGAGAGCAGGAGUGCAGUCCCUCACCACUGGAAAAGAUGACAGCGGAGAUUCCCCCAUGGAACACAUGAGAUUUUCAUGUUAUGUGAUUACAGGGUAGAGCAGGAGUGCAGUCCUUCGCUACCGGAAAAAAACAUGACAGCGGAGAUUCCCCCAUGGAACACAUGAGGAAUUCAGUGGCGUCUACUGGAAACUACAGUAAUCUAUAUGUGGCUCCCCCCCAGUAGAAUCAAGUAAUGCAUAGACUGCAUUCCAUAUGAGUGAUUUUGUAUUUAAAUCAGCUAUUUGUUAUAUAAAAUACAUCUUAAUAAAAUGCAGCUUAUUUUAUCAAGAGAAUACUUGUGUAGGUACUUGCUGGAGGAGCUAUGAGUGUGGAUGCACAUGUUUAUCCUGAUAGAGGCUUCUCCAGGGGUCUGCAAGCUCUGUGAAACAGGUAAAUGAUGGCAUCCCCCCCUCUGAUGUCAGCAUGACAUGUGAACUGCUGGGAGUUGGGUUUGAGGGAGAGAGGAGGAAGUGGGACAGAGAUGAACAGAAUUUGUGAUCUUGAUUGACAUGGUUGUUGUACCACCAGGUGUAGCAGUGGCUGUAGCAGGAGUUCAGCUAUCACCUGUCCUCUACAUCUGUUUGUAAAUGUUUUACUAACUUAUUGCUGCAAAUAUUUAAGUCAUUAUUCAUUAAAAUAGUGCUGCUAUUACUAAGAAAAAGAAAUGCAACACUUUGUUGUACUGUGGUAUAAAAGACAACUAAAACAUUUAAUUCAUGUCACUCAUUCUGCCAAGUGUUGGGAUAUUAACAGUGUGUAAGAGCUGACACAGAAUACAUUUUGAUCCGUAUCAAUGAUCUUUAAAUCUAUGGAGUGGAUGAAGCAAUGAAAUUAUUUAUUUUGUUCUCAUGUUAAUGAUUUGUCAUUGUGUGCUUGUAUGACAGUAAAGAUCAGAGAAAUGUACAGUUGUAUUCACAAGUUUAAUAAACAAGGAAUCUAAUGAAA
Acanthopagrus latus (yellowfin seabream) is the source of this 1789-nucleotide long non-coding RNA. RefSeq lists it as uncharacterized. The transcript has 2 exons. The record is from RefSeq and is a predicted model, not a curated record. Lineage: Eukaryota; Metazoa; Chordata; Actinopteri; Spariformes; Sparidae.